GACGAACGCUGGCGGCGUGCUUAACACAUGCAAGUCGAACGGAAAGGCCCUGCUUUUGUGGGGUGCUCGAGUGGCGAACGGGUGAGUAACACGUGAGUAACCUGCCCUUGACUUUGGGAUAACUUCAGGAAACUGGGGCUAAUACCGGAUAGGAGCUCCUGCUGCAUGGUGGGGGUUGGAAAGUUUCGGCGGUUGGGGAUGGACUCGCGGCUUAUCAGCUUGUUGGUGGGGUAGUGGCUUACCAAGGCUUUGACGGGUAGCCGGCCUGAGAGGGUGACCGGCCACAUUGGGACUGAGAUACGGCCCAGACUCCUACGGGAGGCAGCAGUGGGGAAUAUUGCACAAUGGGCGGAAGCCUGAUGCAGCAACGCCGCGUGCGGGAUGACGGCCUUCGGGUUGUAAACCGCUUUCGCCUGUGACGAAGCGUGAGUGACGGUAAUGGGUAAAGAAGCACCGGCUAACUACGUGCCAGCAGCCGCGGUGAUACGUAGGGUGCGAGCGUUGUCCGGAUUUAUUGGGCGUAAAGGGCUCGUAGGUGGUUGAUCGCGUCGGAAGUGUAAUCUUGGGGCUUAACCCUGAGCGUGCUUUCGAUACGGGUUGACUUGAGGAAGGUAGGGGAGAAUGGAAUUCCUGGUGGAGCGGUGGAAUGCGCAGAUAUCAGGAGGAACACCAGUGGCGAAGGCGGUUCUCUGGGUCUUUCCUGACGCUGAGGAGCGAAAGCGUGGGGAGCGAACAGGCUUAGAUACCCUGGUAGUCCACGCUGUAAACGGUGGGUACUAGGUGUGGGGUCCAUUCCACGGGUUCCGUGCCGUAGCUAACGCUUUAAGUACCCCGCCUGGGGAGUACGGCCGCAAGGCUAAAACUCAAAGGAAUUGACGGGGCCCCGCACAAGCGGCGGAGCAUGCGGAUUAAUUCGAUGCAACGCGUAGAACCUUACCUGGGUUUGACAUGGAUCGGGAGUGCUCAGAGAUGGGUGUGCCUCUUUUGGGGUCGGUUCACAGGUGGUGCAUGGCUGUCGUCAGCUCGUGUCGUGAGAUGUUGGGUUAAGUCCCGCAACGAGCGCAACCCUUGUUCACUGUUGCCAGCACGUUAUGGUGGGGACUCAGUGGAGACCGCCGGGGUCAACUCGGAGGAAGGUGGGGAUGACGUCAAGUCAUCAUGCCCCUUAUGUCCAGGGCUUCACGCAUGCUACAAUGGCUGGUACAGAGAGUGGCGAGCCUGUGAGGGUGAGCGAAUCUCGGAAAGCCGGUCUCAGUUCGGAUUGGGGUCUGCAACUCGACCUCAUGAAGUCGGAGUCGCUAGUAAUCGCAGAUCAGCAACGCUGCGGUGAGUACGUUCCCGGGGCU
RNAcentral lists this ribosomal RNA (1346 nucleotides) under uncultured bacterium. Its description in RNAcentral is "partial 16S ribosomal RNA". It matches the Rfam family "Bacterial small subunit ribosomal RNA", at positions 28 to 1381 of the family's 1533-position model. The record is from RNAcentral.